Molecule: ribosomal RNA, 467 nt
Filed under: uncultured bacterium
Lineage: Bacteria
Description: partial 16S ribosomal RNA
Rfam family: Bacterial small subunit ribosomal RNA
Source: RNAcentral
GACGAACGCUGGCGGCGUGCUUAACACAUGCAAGUCGAACGAUGACGACCGAGCUUGCUCGGUCUGAUUAGUGGCGAACGGGUGAGUAACACGUGAGCAACCUGCCCUUCACUCUGGGAUAACCUCGGGAAAUCGGGGCUAAUACCGGAUAUGAGCUCCUGUCGCAUGGCGGGUGUUGGAAAGUUUUUCGGUGAAGGAUGGGCACGCGGCCUAUCAGUUUGUUGGUGAGGUAGUGGCUCACCAAGGCGAUGACGGGUAGCCGGCCUGAGAGGGCGACCGGCCACACUGGGACUGAGACACGGCCCAGACUCCUACGGGAGGCAGCAGUGGGGAAUAUUGCACAAUGGGCGAAAGCCUGAUGCAGCGACGCCGCGUGAGGGAUGACGGCCUUCGGGUUGUAAACCUCUUUCAGCAGGGAAGAAGCGAAAGUGACGGUACCUGCAGAAGAAGCGCCGGCUAACUACGUG